AGUGAACGCUGGCGGUAGGCCUAACACAUGCAAGUCGAACGGCAGCACAGUAAGAGCUUGCUCUUACGGGUGGCGAGUGGCGGACGGGUGAGGAAUACAUCGGAAUCUACUUUUUCGUGGGGGAUAACGUAGGGAAACUUACGCUAAUACCGCAUACGACCUACGGGUGAAAGCAGGGGAUAUUCGGACCUUGCGCGAAUGAAUGAGCCGAUGUCGGAUUGGCUAGUUGGCGGGGUAAAGGCCCACCAAGGCGACGAUCCGUAGCUGGUCUGAGAGGAUGAUCGCCCACACGGGAACUGGGACACGCUCAAGACUCCUCCGGGAGGCAGAAGUGGGGAACAUUGGACAAUGGGCGCAAGCCUGCUCCAGCCAUACCCCGUGGGUGAAGAAGGCCUUCGGUUUGUAAAGCCCGUUUGUUGGGAAAGAAAAGCAGCAGGUUAAUACCCCGCUGUUCUGACGGUACCCAAAGAAUAAGCACCGGCUAACUUCGUG
Molecule: ribosomal RNA, 492 nt
Filed under: uncultured bacterium
Lineage: Bacteria
Description: partial 16S ribosomal RNA
Rfam family: Bacterial small subunit ribosomal RNA
Source: RNAcentral